UACGGGGGGGGCAAGCGUUGUUCGGAAUUACUGGGCGUAAAGGGCUCGUAGGCGGCCAACUAAGUCAGACGUGAAAUCCCUCGGCUUAACCGGGGAACUGCAUCUGAUACUGGAUGGCUUGAGAUUGGGAGAGGGAUGCGGAAUUCCAGGUGUAGCGGUGAAAUGCGUAGAUGUCUGGAGGAACACCGGUGGCGAAGGCGGCAUCCUGGACCAACACUGACGCUGAGGAGCGAAAGCCAGGGGAGCAAACGGG
RNAcentral lists this ribosomal RNA (253 nucleotides) under uncultured bacterium. Its description in RNAcentral is "partial 16S ribosomal RNA". It matches the Rfam family "Bacterial small subunit ribosomal RNA", at positions 524 to 776 of the family's 1533-position model. The record is from RNAcentral.